This 492-nucleotide ribosomal RNA is filed under the name uncultured bacterium. RNAcentral's name for it is "partial 16S ribosomal RNA". It matches the Rfam family "Bacterial small subunit ribosomal RNA", at positions 29 to 507 of the family's 1533-position model. The record is from RNAcentral.
AGUGAACGCUGGCGGUAGGCCUAACACAUGCAAGUCGAACGGCAGCACAGUAAGAGCUUGCUCUUACGGGUGGCGAGUGGCGGACGGGUGAGGAAUACAUCGGAAUCUACUUUUUCGUGGGGGAUAACGUAGGGAAACUUACGCUAAUACCGCAUACGACCUACGGGUGAAAGCAGGGGAUCUUCGGACCUUGCGCGAUUGAAUGAGCCGAUGUCGGAUUAGCUAGUUGGCGGGGUAAAGGCCCACCAAGGCGACGAUCCGUAGCUGGUCUGAGAGGAUGAGGAGCGACAGUGGAACUGAGACACGGUCCAGACUACUAAGCGAGGCACCGUCGGGGAAUAUGGGACAAUGGGCCCUAGCCUUAUCCAGCCAUACCGCGUGGGUGAAGAAGGCCUUCGGGUUGUAAAGCCCUUUUGUUGGGAAAGAAAAGCAGCAGGUUACUACCCCGCUGGUCUGACGGGACCCGAAGAAUAAGCACCGGCUAACUUAGUG